GCCCCGGCCAGCCCACCCCCUACGCCGUUGGAGGAGCCUUCGUGGACGCGGAGACCCGUCUUCUUGCGAGGCUCGGCGGCCCUGACCAGACCAGCCCCCACCCCGGCGCAGGAGGCAAGGCCAGAAGAAGUCAGCAUUGAACCACCCUACGAAUCCCCACCGUCUGGGUCUGGGUCAGACGUCGUGGAACAAAUAGUGCAAUACUGCAGGCGAAGGGUGGCCAGCCCAGACCGGCACGUACCGCUUCCCGAUUUUAUGAUAUCCAGAGUGCUGGUUGAUAGAGGGCUCCCACUUCCGCACGGUCCUAGUGCCCUGGUCCGAGUGGAGGAAUGGCUCAAAGUCCAAGACAGUUGGAAAGCCACAAUGAGAGGCGCACUAUUUCAGCAUGUCACUGAGCCAACUGAACCUGUGGAACAGUCCGAGCAUGCCGUUGAGCUGACCUCAACCCCGGUGCAGCAGGAGCCUUCGUGGACGCGGAGACCCGUCUUCUUGCGAGGCUCGGCGGCCCUGACCAGCCCAGCCCCCACCCCGGCGCAGGAGCUACCA
Long non-coding RNA from Frankliniella occidentalis (western flower thrips), 546 nucleotides. RefSeq lists it as uncharacterized. The record is from RefSeq and is a predicted model, not a curated record. The transcript has 3 exons. NCBI's taxonomy places the organism in Eukaryota, Metazoa, Arthropoda, Insecta, Thysanoptera, Thripidae.